GGAGAAUUGGCCGAGUGGUCGAAGGCGCACGCUUGGAAAGCGUGUAUACCGAAAGGUAUCGAGGGUUCGAAUCCCUUGUUCUCCGCCA
RNAcentral lists this transfer RNA (88 nucleotides) under Bacteriovorax sp. Seq25_V. Its description in RNAcentral is "tRNA-Ser". It matches the Rfam family "tRNA". Rfam says of the family: Transfer RNA (tRNA) molecules are approximately 80 nucleotides in length. Lineage: Bacteria; Pseudomonadati; Bdellovibrionota; Bacteriovoracia; Bacteriovoracales; Bacteriovoracaceae. The record is from RNAcentral.